Molecule: unclassified non-coding RNA, 752 nt
Filed under: Hevea brasiliensis (rubber tree)
Lineage: Eukaryota; Viridiplantae; Streptophyta; Magnoliopsida; Malpighiales; Euphorbiaceae
Source: RNAcentral
UAAGAUUUAAGAAUAAAAAGAAGACAAAGAAAGAAAGGGAAGAAAGAAGAGAAUAGAAAGAACCACAAAGGGUUCAUCUUUUCUUUCAUUACUAUAUAAAAUAAAAUAUUACACAUUUAUAUAUACAAAUCCCCUAAAAUUACUCAGCUUAAUUAGAAAUAUAAACUCUACUAUAAUUAUCUACUUAAUUAGGAUCCUACCUAAAUAGGAAUAUAUAUCCUACAUUAAAUAGCGCUACUAAUUAGAAAUACAAAUCAUGAUCUAUUUAGGAAUAUAAAACCUAUACUAAAUAGGAAUAUAUAAAUUCAUAUUGACUUUCUAUAACAAUGUACAUCUCUUUUCACAAUUUUAUUAGCUGUUUUUGGGGUGAGUAGGAACCUCACCCUUAUCAUUCCAGUAACUUGCACAGAUACAAAAGUACAAUUAUUUUAUUUUAUUUUCGAAGAUGAGCAAGUAUGUGCAAAUGUAAGAAGAAAACACUUGUCAUUUUUUCAUCCAUCAUCAUUCAUUGGCAAGUUUUUUACUAUUUUGCUAUGGGAUCUAAUGAUAAUGACAUAAAUACAGGCUUUCAACAACCAUCUAUCAAAUCUGAGUAGCAUAUUUUCUUGUAGAACCCCCAUAUGAUGUGUUGACAAUGAAAGAACAAUUCCUUCUUACUAACAGAAAAUGCAAAUUUUCAUUAGGUGCUCAAAAAAAUUUUCAAAAUGAUUGAACAGAGAAAUAAUUACACAAGGGGUCUUUGAGCAGCUUCU